UUGCUGCCCUUGUCCUCCAAGAUAAAAGCAGUUAUGGAAGGCGCUGUCUAAAGAGGCUUGGCUUUUCAAGAGUACUAUGUUGGACUUGAACCUGGAGGAUAGCUUCAUUAUCUCUAUGAAUAUCAGGCCAGAACAUAACUUUACAAUUCACACUGGAGCUACCAUCAUUGUUGUGUUCAACAGUUGGCAUCUCAAAUUUGAAGGAUUCAUCUUGUUCACCAAAUUGAGAUCCACAAUUUGAAAUAAGCUGCUGAUGGUCAUCUGCUACAGGAUCCUGCAAGUCCCUCGGUGUAUAGUUCCACUGAUGAAUGGUAUUUGGUUUCUUGUCCCAUUUUCUUUGUAGCAACCAGUGAACAGAAAUAUUCUCGGGCCUAUACCCAGAAAUCUGACAAUUCAGAAGAGCUUCUUGAAAAUGUAUAAUCCGUGGAGGUUUGCUGAUGUCAGAAACUUUUGGAGGAACUAAAAAAAGAACAUUUGGCAGUUAAUCCAUUCUUUAUCACAGAGCCUGUCAUUUCAAAAAUAUCAGCAUGAAUUCAUCCUAUGCUGGACAUUAUUACUGGAAUAACAAAUAUUAACACAAUACAACAGUUGAGGUAAUCUCUAACUAAAAAUGAAAUAAAAUAACCUGUUUCUUAUUGAAACAAAUUUGCUUUGAUCAAAUGAUCAUUAGGAUUCCUGAGUUAAAAUAAAAGUAUGAGAGGUAGAAAGGCACAAAUAGACAAAUCACAAACCAAGUAUGAAACUAAGGCAAAAGUAUAGAAACAUCAGGAUAAAAGGACAGAAGUCAGUAACUAAACAGAACAGCAGAGAUCAGUAAAGCAUGAAGGAAACCAGUGUUCCACAAAAUAGUGAGAAAAUCAUCCAAGAAAAAGCUAGACCCAGAGGGAAAUCAAAUAGGCAUAGAGAUCUGGGGAGAAAGAUCAGUGGACAUAAAAAUCAGGCAACCACCACAAUGAGCGUCACAAGAAGGGAGAGAGAGGACAAAAUAGAGAGACAUUAUGUGUCUCACCAUGAGCAACAUUAUAGGAGAUUUAAAAUAUACUGGUAUCUUAAAAACAAUCUUACAUCUCCAAAUAUGCCCCAUGACACUUGACUUCCUGCUAUCACUCUCUUAUUACCCUUUUUAUAAAUUGUUCUGCUCAGAUUUACAAUGGUUUUGCUGAUGCAACCAAGUCAUUUUGUGAAAUCUUGGAACACAAGUUCCCACAAAUAACUCAAAAUACUUUGUAAAAUAGUUUUGCAUCCAACAUUAUAACUAUUAGUUUCUGCGGGAAAUAAUAUCAAAAUAAGAUGUAAAAAUACUUGUAAUUAUCAUAUCAACAUGAUUAAAUUCAUUGAUGUCUUCUAAUGCAUUCAUUAAAGUUUUUACUGAAGACUUCAGCCUGGCCCAAAGCUUUGGCUUAGAAUUGACGCAUUUGCUUGAAUCUGUGACUUUCAGUUGAAUUUAUUUUUUGUACUAUGGCCACAUGUAGGGCACCGAAUUUGUCUGGAUACAUUCGUACCAGUUAGCUGUACCGUUUUCAUCAGCUGCUAGCACUUACACCUAGAAGUAUUCUUGGGCAAGAAAUCAAAUGGGAUACAUUUCAAAAGCAUAAUAAAAUAUAUUGAUUUUUUUUAAAGACAAUAUUUAUGAAUGAUCAGCACUGGUGUGUUAACAGAACACUGUAUUGUGUUUAUAAACUCAGAAAAUAUAUUUAGCCAAAUGUGAGACAGAGGUGAGAACACACAAAGGGGUGAAAGCAUGAGCGCUCACAAACAUGAUAGUGGUGUGGUGGGAGGGCAAACAGGGAGCAGUAGUUUUCAAGCUCCUUGCAUUUAAUUUCUACAUUUCCUGCUCCUCAGUUCAGAGCUGUUAUUUCAUUUUGAGUAAAAUGUUCAAGCCAGAGAACAGAAGUUCAUGAUAUCUUAUGAAUAUUUAUAUUUCCCUCUUUUGAUGGACAUUGUAACUUUAAACUGAGCUGUUCAGAAGUAAACAAAUGCAAAGUAGUAUUUAGUCACAUGCAGAGUAAAAUAGUUAUUUUUAAAAAUGUGGAGUUUGGUAACUUAAGAAAAAAGCCUGGGUUAUUACUUUGUUUACAGUACUUUUGAUUGACUAUUUGCAAAUAAUAUUGAUAAAACUAAGUUUAUUCCCAAAAAUCUAAAGUUUCUUAUUUGAAAGACCUGCUAUGUUGGGGCUCCUUGCCAAUAUACUGCAGUAAUAUCACUCAUGCUGCUUGCUGCAUAACUUUAGAUGACCUCUGAUAAAAUCAAUAGUUGCCCAGUUCUAAGAAAAGCACUCAAACAAAAACUCCAACAGAGAUGAGCCAUCUCAGUACAGAUCAAGAAUAAUCCCUCUUGUAUUUCUAAAGUGAUUUGAAGAAUAUUUUACCUUUUCUGAAAUACUUCAAGUACAUUAAAAAUCCAAUGCCAAUGAUCGCUGUACACACCCAUAUGCUAACAAUUACACUUGCAGUUAUUAUCCCCACUGGUAUAACAACUUCUGGCUCUGUAGAUAAAAUAAACAUGUAUUUCAACUGUGAAUAGCAAAAUGGAGCAACAUCUGUAAAUUGAGACUUAUUCCAAGACAAUGGUUUAUCUUAAAAGUAAAAUAAAAUACAAAUGGACAGCAAGUUGAUAAAGUUUAACGCCUCAUGUUAAAGGCUCUCAGAGUUGUGAUUAAUAUUAACCUAUAUCCCUCAAAUGUUGAUCAGUCUUUGCAUCUUUUCAGAAUUUCUUAAUUUUACUUGAGCUCCAGAAUUUGAAGUUUUUCUAAAUCUUCACAAUACUUCUAAGAAAUGAAAACAUUACUAUGAUGUAGCUUUCUUAACUCAUUGUACACUGCACUGGACAGGAACAGUAUGUCACAUCAAUUAAAAAAAUUCAAAAUUCCAGAUAUUAGAAAUCUGAAACAAAAACAGAAAAUACUGCAAACAUUCUGCUGGUCAAGUGGUAUCUGUGGAGAGAGAACAGAGAAGUUAAUUUUUUGGGUGCUGAAUCAUUAUCAAAACAGAAGAAAGAGGUAGACAUGGGUGUUAGUACAAUUAGUUGUGACGGGGAAAACUUUUUUUUAAACAACCGCCAAACCCAGUAAGGAAUCAUUAAGUUCAAAAGAUCACUGAACUGGAUUAAAACAUUAAAUAAAGAACAUGACAAAUGAAUAGCAUUUAAAAAGGAACUGCAGAAAAUGAGACAAGAAGCCUGAGAGAUAUAAACAAAUAAGGAAUAUACAUUACACGGAGUACAUGCAAACAGCUGAGGCUGUGGGAAGCUAGGCAGAUAGAAUUAAAGUACAGAAAACUGACAAAGCGAAGUUCAAUCCAGCAGCUCAGGAACCUUGGAAAAAAAUAAAUAAAAGCAGGUUAACACCAAGAACGAAGGUUGCCUGCUAGUCGAGCAUUUCCUAACCUGGAAACGCAAGCACAUCCAUCCCAAUCACCAGUACCUCCUACCAAAGAGAAAGUGGGAACCGAAGCUAGUAAAGUCAAUGUUAAGGUUAAAGGAUUGAAGAGUGCUUGAUAGAAAGGUAAGGUGCUCUAUCUGGAGCUUGAUUUGAGCUUCAUUAGAACAAUAAAUGAAGGCUAAAGACAGACGUGACAGAGUGGAAAUAGGAUGGAGAAAGUAGCAAGCAAUAGGAAAUUUUGGACCACACCUGUGUUCAGCAAAAUGAUCACUGAAUCUGAUGUUGGAACUGAUGGAAAUGGAGGAAGAUCACCUACUGGAUAUGGAAGUGGACCCAGCGUGGCUUAAAACAGCACAAGGAGGAGCAAGAACAGACUCAAAAUCUAAUGUGAACUUUUCAAAACAUUCAAAUUAAAAGACAUGCUCUGAGUGUUUCUUUCAAAUCUGGUUAAAUAGUGAUCAGAACUUGAAAAUUGUUUCCAAAGAGAUAUGGGAAGUAUUCUGUUCCUCUUCUACAGUUGGUCUGUACGAUUAUAAUGUUUUUUUUGAGAAGCUGUCUUUAAUUCUUUUGGUCUUAACAUCCUGGCUACACCAAAAAAUAAUCUUAGGUUUCCAGGGCUACAUGAGUACUGAUAAUACAGCAAGGGACCAGGUGUCUUACAAAUUCAAGAACUUAUCUACAGACAUCGAACUUGGACUAAAGUCUGUUCCCAGGAAUGCACACCAAGAUAAAUAUCAACUACGGCUGGAGGGCCAUCAACUUGGUGAAAGAUACUCAUUCGUCUGCCUGAAAUUUGGUGUCUUCCAGUGCAAAGAGUCGUCCUCAACUGAGUGUUGCAGACUGGCACAUUCUAAGACCCAGGACUGCGUGCUAAAGGACACACUAAAGCUUGGGGCAGCUGCAGCAGAGGCAGAGGCACAAUGGGGAAAGACUGCUUCUAAGGCCUUUCAGCCAUCGUACAAUGAGGGGCUGGAAACUGUAUAAAACACCUGGGGCUGUAUGACUGACUAAGAAUGUACAUUAUGAACAUCAAGAGUAUUGAAAGGGUAUUGAGGGGCCUCAAAGUGGAACAUGCUGUAUGGAGAAAAGUUGAAUUCUAUUACACUUUUAAUUUUCAAUUUUUAACGUUUUGGCCAGAAUUUUAUGUUCGGUCAGGCGGGCCCGACUGACUCGGUGGCGGAUGGGCUGCCAAUUGCCGCUGGCAAAACCGGCCGCGCCACCAUUUUCCGUGGGCAGGCCUCAACUCCCGUAGAGAACGGGAAAAUAGUCGCGGGGGCGGGCAGCCUGUUCAAAGAGUGGCCAGGCAGCCUGCUUGAAGCAGUGCACCAUGGUCAAUUGGCAAGUUAAGGGGCUUAAUGAGCCCUUCAAUUAAUGGUGGUAAACUGAGCGUGCUCACCCACCGAAAUAUCGUGAUGCCACACGCUGAUGUCAGCACGCUCGCGCGACAUUUUACAUGCUGACGUGCAGGGUACGUCAGCUGGGAAAUUCUGCCCUUUGCUCUAUGGUUGUAUUCUUGACAUGGAAUGUAUAUUGUAAAUAUCAAGGGUUUUACAACUCUAUUGAGGCACCCUAGAGUAGAACCUGCUGUAUGGAAACAAGAUGAAUUUUUUUGCACUGUCAUUUCCAAGUUUUGUAUUGUACUAUUACAAAUUUUAAAAAUAAAUUAUAUUCUUGGGGGGAAAAAAAUCCAAAAAGCUAUUAAACCAGCCACAAGACAAUUCAGUCAAGCUAAAACAGCUAUACCUGGAAAGAGAGGAAAGAAAUCUUCGCCCCAGCUUGUUCCAACUUCAAGUUAACCUGAGAACUGACCUCCUGGCAAUUCAACUACAAGAACCUCAGAGGUUAUUGAGAAUACUCUGCUUUUACCUGAGCUCCACUACAGCAUUCAGUUAAGAAACAACAGGUCUGCUGCAAAAGAGGCUGAAAUUACAUUACAACUUGUAACUGUAUUGCUUUUCUACUCAUCCUUAUCUAUUGCGCGCGGGAUAUUGUAUUAAAACCACAGGAC
This is a long non-coding RNA of Carcharodon carcharias (great white shark), 5387 nucleotides long. RefSeq lists it as uncharacterized. The record is from RefSeq and is a predicted model, not a curated record. The transcript is spliced from 4 exons. NCBI's taxonomy places the organism in Eukaryota, Metazoa, Chordata, Chondrichthyes, Lamniformes, Lamnidae.